UCCUUCGUAGUGUAGUGGUCAGCACGUUCGACACGUAGUCGAGAGGUCCAUGGUUCGAGUCCCGGCGAGAGCA
RNAcentral lists this transfer RNA (73 nucleotides) under Stegodyphus mimosarum. It matches the Rfam family "tRNA". From Rfam's summary of the family: Transfer RNA (tRNA) molecules are approximately 80 nucleotides in length. Their secondary structure includes four short double-helical elements and three loops (D, anti-codon, and T loops). Further hydrogen bonds mediate the characteristic L-shaped molecular structure. tRNAs have two regions of fundamental functional importance: the anti-codon, which is responsible for specific mRNA codon recognition, and the 3' end, to which the tRNAs corresponding amino acid is attached (by aminoacyl-tRNA synthetases). tRNAs cope with the degeneracy of the genetic code in two manners: having more than one tRNA (with a specific anti-codon) for a particular amino acid; and 'wobble' base-pairing, i.e. permitting non-standard base-pairing at the 3rd anti-codon position. Lineage: Eukaryota; Metazoa; Arthropoda; Arachnida; Araneae; Eresidae. The record is from Rfam by way of RNAcentral.